CCUACGGGAGGCAGCAGUGAGGAAUAUUGGUCAAUGGGAGGAAUCCUGAACCAGCCAUGCCGCGUGAAGGACGACUGCUCUACGGGUUGUAAACUUCUUUUGUACAGGGAUAAAAUGCCGUACGUGUGCGGUUUUGAAAGUACUGUACGAAUAAGGAUCGGCUAACUCCGUGCCAGCAGCCGCGGUAAUACGGAGGAUCCGAGCGUUAUCCGGAUUCAUUGGGUUUAAAGGGUGCGUAGAUUGUUUUAUAAGUUAGCUGUGAAAGUUCGAGGCUCAACAUUGGGGUUGCAGCUAAUACUGGCAGACUAGAGUACAGAUGAAGUAGGCGGAAUGUGUGGUGUAGCGGUGAAAUGCAUAGAUAUUACAAAGAACACCGAUUGCGAAGGCAGCUUGCUAGGCCGGCUCUGACACUGAUGCACGAAAGCGUGGGGAUCGAACAGGAUUAGAUACCCCAGUAGUC
Molecule: ribosomal RNA, 460 nt
Filed under: uncultured bacterium
Lineage: Bacteria
Description: partial 16S ribosomal RNA
Rfam family: Bacterial small subunit ribosomal RNA
Source: RNAcentral